AGUUUUAUAGUUUAAUAAAAUAUUAAAUUGCAAAUUUAAAGAUAGGAUAUAUUCCUUAAAACUU
RNAcentral lists this transfer RNA (64 nucleotides) under Harpalus sp. RNAcentral's name for it is "tRNA-Cys". It matches the Rfam family "tRNA". From Rfam's summary of the family: Transfer RNA (tRNA) molecules are approximately 80 nucleotides in length. Their secondary structure includes four short double-helical elements and three loops (D, anti-codon, and T loops). The record is from RNAcentral. Lineage: Eukaryota; Metazoa; Arthropoda; Insecta; Coleoptera; Carabidae. RNAcentral also lists the same sequence under 2 other names.